UUACCAGAGAUGGAUUGGUGGCCCUCGGGAACUCUGACACAGGUGGCUGCAUGGCUGUCGUCAGCUCGUGUCGUGAGAUGUUGGGUUAAGUCCCGUAACGAGCGCAACCCUUGUCCUUAGUUACCAGCACGUUAUGGUGGGCGACUCUAAGGAGACUGCCGGUGACAAACCGGAGGAAGGUGGGGAGUGACGUCAAGUCAUCAUGGCCCUUACGGCCUGGGCUACACACGUGCUACAAUGGUCGGUACAAAGGGUUGCCAAGCCGCGAGGUGGAGCUAAUCCCAUAAAACCGAUCGUAGUCCGGAUCGCAGUCUGCAACUCGACUGCGUGAAGUCGGAAUCGCUAGUAAUCGUGAAUCAGAAUGUCACGGUGAAUACGUUCCCGGGCCUU
RNAcentral lists this ribosomal RNA (390 nucleotides) under uncultured Pseudomonas sp. RNAcentral's name for it is "bacterial SSU rRNA". It matches the Rfam family "Bacterial small subunit ribosomal RNA", at positions 997 to 1382 of the family's 1533-position model. The record is from RNAcentral. Lineage: Bacteria; Pseudomonadati; Pseudomonadota; Gammaproteobacteria; Pseudomonadales; Pseudomonadaceae.